UGUAGAAUGGUGAAACUGGCAGACGCGCCCUCCUCUCUCGGGGGUGGAGAUUUGGGAAAAACUGGUCCGGCGGCCGGCUAACUACUCCAUGGAGGUUCGAAUCCUUCUUCUACAG
This 115-nucleotide transfer RNA is filed under the name Hymenobacter endophyticus. RNAcentral describes it as "tRNA-Glu". It matches the Rfam family "tRNA". Rfam says of the family: Transfer RNA (tRNA) molecules are approximately 80 nucleotides in length. Their secondary structure includes four short double-helical elements and three loops (D, anti-codon, and T loops). Further hydrogen bonds mediate the characteristic L-shaped molecular structure. tRNAs have two regions of fundamental functional importance: the anti-codon, which is responsible for specific mRNA codon recognition, and the 3' end, to which the tRNAs corresponding amino acid is attached (by aminoacyl-tRNA synthetases). tRNAs cope with the degeneracy of the genetic code in two manners: having more than one tRNA (with a specific anti-codon) for a particular amino acid; and 'wobble' base-pairing, i.e. permitting non-standard base-pairing at the 3rd anti-codon position. Lineage: Bacteria; Pseudomonadati; Bacteroidota; Cytophagia; Cytophagales; Hymenobacteraceae. The record is from RNAcentral. RNAcentral also lists the same sequence under 1 other name.